Molecule: ribosomal RNA, 271 nt
Filed under: uncultured prokaryote
Description: partial 16S ribosomal RNA
Rfam family: Bacterial small subunit ribosomal RNA
Source: RNAcentral
ACGUAGGGGGCGAGCGUUGUCCGGAGUUACUGGGCGUAAAGGGCGCGCAGGCGGUCUGGUAAGUUUGGAGUGACAGUGCUCGGCUUAACUGAGCAAGGCCUUCAAAAACUGCUGGACUUGAGGACUCAAGAGGGACAUAGAAUUCCGGGUGGAGUGGUGGAAUGCGUAGAGAUCCGGAAGAACACCGGUGGCGAAGGCGGCCCGCUGGGCAGGAAGGGAGAGCAAUCUCCCGGCUGACGCUGAGGCGCGACAGCGUGGGGAGCAAACAGGA